GGCCGGAAGGAAGCAGCCGAAGUAAAG
RNAcentral lists this non-coding RNA (27 nucleotides) under uncultured Fragilariaceae. Lineage: Eukaryota; Bacillariophyta; Fragilariophyceae; Fragilariales; Fragilariaceae. The record is from RNAcentral.